GGGUUGUGAGGUUAAGCGACUAAGCGUACACGGUGGAUGCCCUGGCAGUCAGAGGCGAUGAAGGACGUGCUAAUCUGCGAUAAGCGUCGGUGAGGUGAUAUGAACCGUUAUAACCGGCGAUUUCCGAAUGGGGAAACCCAGUGUGUUUCGACACACUAUCAUUAACUGAAUCCAUAGGUUAAUGAGGCGAACCGGGGGAACUGAAACAUCUAAGUACCCCGAGGAAAAGAAAUCAACCGAGAUUCCCCCAGUAGCGGCGAGCGAACGGGGAGGAGCCCAGAGCCUGAAUCAGUGUGUGUGUUAGUGGAAGCGUCUGGAAAGGCGCGCGAUACAGGGUGACAGCCCCGUACACAAAAAUGCACAUAUUGUGAGCUCGAUGAGUAGGGCGGGACACGUGGUAUCCUGUCUGAAUAUGGGGGGACCAUCCUCCAAGGCUAAAUACUCCUGACUGACCGAUAGUGAACCAGUACCGUGAGGGAAAGGCGAAAAGAACCCCGGCGAGGGGAGUGAAAAAGAACCUGAAACCGUGUACGUACAAGCAGUGGGAGCCUCUUAAUGGGGUGACUGCGUACCUUUUGUAUAAUGGGUCAGCGACUUAUAUUCUGUAGCAAGGUUAACCGAAUAGGGGAGCCGAAGGGAAACCGAGUCUUAACUGGGCGUUAAGUUGCAGGGUAUAGACCCGAAACCCGGUGAUCUAGCCAUGGGCAGGUUGAAGGUUGGGUAACACUAACUGGAGGACCGAACCGACUAAUGUUGAAAAAUUAGCGGAUGACUUGUGGCUGGGGGUGAAAGGCCAAUCAAACCGGGAGAUAGCUGGUUCUCCCCGAAAGCUAUUUAGGUAGCGCCUCGUGAAUUCAUCUCCGGGGGUAGAGCACUGUUUCGGCAAGGGGGUCAUCCCGACUUACCAACCCGAUGCAAACUGCGAAUACCGGAGAAUGUUAUCACGGGAGACACACGGCGGGUGCUAACGUCCGUCGUGAAGAGGGAAACAACCCAGACCGCCAGCUAAGGUCCCAAAGUCAUGGUUAAGUGGGAAACGAUGUGGGAAGGCCCAGACAGCCAGGAUGUUGGCUUAGAAGCAGCCAUCAUUUAAAGAAAGCGUAAUAGCUCACUGGUCGAGUCGGCCUGCGCGGAAGAUGUAACGGGGCUAAACCAUGCACCGAAGCUGCGGCAGCGACGCUUAUGCGUUGUUGGGUAGGGGAGCGUUCUGUAAGCCUGUGAAGGUGUGCUGUGAGGCAUGCUGGAGGUAUCAGAAGUGCGAAUGCUGACAUAAGUAACGAUAAAGCGGGUGAAAAGCCCGCUCGCCGGAAGACCAAGGGUUCCUGUCCAACGUUAAUCGGGGCAGGGUGAGUCGACCCCUAAGGCGAGGCCGAAAGGCGUAGUCGAUGGGAAACAGGUUAAUAUUCCUGUACUUGGUGUUACUGCGAAGGGGGGACGGAGAAGGCUAUGUUGGCCGGGCGACGGUUGUCCCGGUUUAAGCGUGUAGGCUGGUUUUCCAGGCAAAUCCGGAAAACCAAGGCUGAGGCGUGAUGACGAGGCACUACG
RNAcentral lists this ribosomal RNA (1545 nucleotides) under Escherichia coli. RNAcentral describes it as "partial 23S ribosomal RNA". It matches the Rfam family "Bacterial large subunit ribosomal RNA", at positions 1 to 1581 of the family's 2925-position model. The record is from RNAcentral. Lineage: Bacteria; Pseudomonadati; Pseudomonadota; Gammaproteobacteria; Enterobacterales; Enterobacteriaceae.